CCUACGGGGGGCUGCAGUGAGGAAUAUUGGUCAAUGGCCGUAAGGCUGAACCAGCCAAGUCGCGUGAAGGAAGAAGGAUCUAUGGUUUGUAAACUUCUUUUAUAGGGGAAUAAAGGUAUCCACGGGUGGAUAUUUGCAUGUACCCUAUGAAUAAGCAUCGGCUAACUCCGUGCCAGCAGCCGCGGUAAUACGGAGGAUGCGAGCGUUAUCCGGAUUUAUUGGGUUUAAAGGGUGCGUAGGUUGUUUUUUAAGUCAGCGGUGAAAGUUUGUGGCUCAACCACAAAGGUGCCGUUGAAACUGGUAGACUUGCGUGUGUUUGAGGUAGGCGGAAUGCGUGGUGUAGCGGUGAAAUGCAUCGAUAUCACGAAGAACCCCGAGUGCGAAGGCAGCUUACUAAACUGUGACUGACAUUGAUGCUCGAAAGUGUGGGUAUCAAACAGGAUUAGAUACCCCAGUAGUC
RNAcentral lists this ribosomal RNA (460 nucleotides) under uncultured bacterium. Its description in RNAcentral is "partial 16S ribosomal RNA". It matches the Rfam family "Bacterial small subunit ribosomal RNA", at positions 338 to 795 of the family's 1533-position model. The record is from RNAcentral.